This 2331-nucleotide ribosomal RNA is filed under the name Shigella sonnei. RNAcentral's name for it is "partial 23S ribosomal RNA". It matches the Rfam family "Bacterial large subunit ribosomal RNA", at positions 313 to 2632 of the family's 2925-position model. Lineage: Bacteria; Pseudomonadati; Pseudomonadota; Gammaproteobacteria; Enterobacterales; Enterobacteriaceae. The record is from RNAcentral.
UGAAUCAGUGUGUGUGUUAGUGGAAGCGUCUGGAAAGGCGCGCGAUACAGGGUGACAGCCCCGUACACAAAAAUGCACAUAUUGUGAGCUCGAUGAGUAGGGCGGGACACGUGGUAUCCUGUCUGAAUAUGGGGGGCCCAUCCUCCAAGGCUAAAUACUCCUGACUGACCGAUAGUGAACCAGUACCGUGAGGGAAAGGCGAAAAGAACCCCGGCGAGGGGAGUGAAAAAGAACCUGAAACCGUGUACGUACAAGCAGUGGGAGCACGCUUAGGCGUGUGACUGCGUACCUUUUGUAUAAUGGGUCAGCGACUUAUAUUCUGUAGCAAGGUUAACCGAAUAGGGGAGCCGAAGGGAAACCGAGUCUUAACUGGGCGUUAAGUUGCAGGGUAUAGACCCGAAACCCGGUGAUCUAGCCAUGGGCAGGUUGAAGGUUGGGUAACACUAACUGGAGGACCGAACCGACUAAUGUUGAAAAAUUAGCGGAUGACUUGUGGCUGGGGGUGAAAGGCCAAUCAAACCGGGAGAUAGCUGGUUCUCCCCGAAAGCUAUUUAGGUAGCGCCUCGUGAAUUCAUCUCCGGGGGUAGAGCACUGUUUCGGCAAGGGGGUCAUCCCGACUUACCAACCCGAUGCAAACUGCGAAUACCGGAGAAUGUUAUCACGGGAGACACACGGCGGGUGCUAACGUCCGUCGUGAAGAGGGAAACAACCCAGACCGCCAGCUAAGGUCCCAAAGUCAUGGUUAAGUGGGAAACGAUGUGGGAAGGCCCAGACAGCCAGGAUGUUGGCUUAGAAGCAGCCAUCAUUUAAAGAAAGCGUAAUAGCUCACUGGUCGAGUCGGCCUGCGCGGAAGAUGUAACGGGGCUAAACCAUGCACCGAAGCUGCGGCAGCGACGCUUAUGCGUUGUUGGGUAGGGGAGCGUUCUGUAAGCCUGCGAAGGUGUGCUGUGAGGCAUGCUGGAGGUAUCAGAAGUGCGAAUGCUGACAUAAGUAACGAUAAAGCGGGUGAAAAGCCCGCUCGCCGGAAGACCAAGGGUUCCUGUCCAACGUUAAUCGGGGCAGGGUGAGUCGACCCCUAAGGCGAGGCCGAAAGGCGUAGUCGAUGGGAAACAGGUUAAUAUUCCUGUACUUGGUGUUACUGCGAAGGGGGGACGGAGAAGGCUAUGUUGGCCGGGCGACGGUUGUCCCGGUUUAAGCGUGUAGGCUGGUUUUCCAGGCAAAUCCGGAAAAUCAAGGCUGAGGCGUGAUGACGAGGCACUACGGUGCUGAAGCAACAAAUGCCCUGCUUCCAGGAAAAGCCUCUAAGCAUCAGGUAACAUCAAAUCGUACCCCAAACCGACACAGGUGGUCAGGUAGAGAAUACCAAGGCGCUUGAGAGAACUCGGGUGAAGGAACUAGGCAAAAUGGUGCCGUAACUUCGGGAGAAGGCACGCUGAUAUGUAGGUGAAGUCCCUUGCGGAUGGAGCUGAAAUCAGUCGAAGAUACCAGCUGGCUGCAACUGUUUAUUAAAAACACAGCACUGUGCAAACACGAAAGUGGACGUAUACGGUGUGACGCCUGCCCGGUGCCGGAAGGUUAAUUGAUGGGGUCAGCGCAAGCGAAGCUCUUGAUCGAAGCCCCGGUAAACGGCGGCCGUAACUAUAACGGUCCUAAGGUAGCGAAAUUCCUUGUCGGGUAAGUUCCGACCUGCACGAAUGGCGUAAUGAUGGCCAGGCUGUCUCCACCCGAGACUCAGUGAAAUUGAACUCGCUGUGAAGAUGCAGUGUACCCGCGGCAAGACGGAAAGACCCCGUGAACCUUUACUAUAGCUUGACACUGAACAUUGAGCCUUGAUGUGUAGGAUAGGUGGGAGGCUUUGAAGUGUGGACGCCAGUCUGCAUGGAGCCGGCCUUGAAAUACCACCCUUUAAUGUUUGAUGUUCUAACGUGGACCCGUGAUCCGGGUUGCGGACAGUGUCUGGUGGGUAGUUUGACUGGGGCGGUCUCCUCCUAAAGAGUAACGGAGGAGCACGAAGGUUGGCUAAUCCUGGUCGGACAUCAGGAGGUUAGUGCAAUGGCAUAAGCCAGCUUGACUGCGAGCGUGACGGCGCGAGCAGGUGCGAAAGCAGGUCAUAGUGAUCCGGUGGUUCUGAAUGGAAGGGCCAUCGCUCAACGGAUAAAAGGUACUCCGGGGAUAACAGGCUGAUACCGCCCAAGAGUUCAUAUCGACGGCGGUGUUUGGCACCUCGAUGUCGGCUCAUCACAUCCUGGGGCUGAAGUAGGUCCCAAGGGUAUGGCUGUUCGCCAUUUAAAGUGGUACGCGAGCUGGGUUUAGAACGUCGUGAGACAGUUC